UAAAGGGUACCUUUUCUUGAAGAGCAGUGAUGGCGGAACCGUGCGAUCGAGCUUCAAAUCGCGAAACAGAAGCAAGGUGUCGGUUCAGAAGGCUAAUGAAGAUGCUAAUCCAGCUCCAGCAUAGUUGCAUCAAGCGAUUUCUUGAACUGCAAUUUGACGACGCAGGUUUUUUCACAGCAAGAAUCAGCCAAGGCUUUGUUUCGAUCUCCUUCAACAGAAGCGAAAUGGUACCUGCAAAUUGUGAUCUAACAGAAAAAUCGCACCAGGAAUCAAAG
RNAcentral lists this long non-coding RNA (275 nucleotides) under Lathyrus oleraceus (garden pea). RNAcentral's name for it is "Pisum sativum (pea) long non-coding RNA (PSAT_LNC010306)". The record is from RNAcentral. Lineage: Eukaryota; Viridiplantae; Streptophyta; Magnoliopsida; Fabales; Fabaceae.